Molecule: ribosomal RNA, 343 nt
Filed under: Peronia verruculata
Lineage: Eukaryota; Metazoa; Mollusca; Gastropoda; Systellommatophora; Onchidiidae
Description: partial large subunit ribosomal RNA
Source: RNAcentral
UGGCUUUUAAANGGAGGCGAGCAUGAAUGGGNNUACGGAAAUAAGCUGUCUCUUUUUGGUUAUAUUGAAGUUUCUUUAAGGGUGCAAAGUCCCUUGAUUAGAAAAAAGACGAGAAGACCCUUAGAGUUUUUAUUAAAGAUAAGAAUUUAUUCAAGUUUUUGCUGGGGCGGCAAAGAGACAAGUGAUUAAACUCUCUUUUUAUUGUUUUUAGAAGACGAAAAUGUUAAGAAUCAUUAAACUACCUUAGGGAUAACAGCAUAAUUAAGUUUUAGUUUGUGACCUCGAUGUUGGACUAGGAAGACUUUUGACCAGCAGUCAAAAAGUGUGGUUCUGUUCGAACUAA